UGGGCAAGAUUGAAGGAAGAAUAGGAUGAGGAAGAAAGAAGAUGAGCAAGAAACGGAGGAAGGGUCAUUGGUGAGGAAUGGAUGGAGAUGGAGAGGCCAUUGUGAAGAGGGAACGCUCAUGAAUGGGUUUGGAGGAUAAGGAGGGAUGAGAAGAAAAAGUGGAUGAAAAUGAAGGAGAGGAGUGGAAAAGAGAAGUCGUCGAUAAGGAAUGGAUGGAG
Molecule: long non-coding RNA, 218 nt
Filed under: Elaeis guineensis (African oil palm)
Lineage: Eukaryota; Viridiplantae; Streptophyta; Magnoliopsida; Arecales; Arecaceae
Description: long non-coding RNA (EGUI_LNC037364)
Source: RNAcentral